Non-coding RNA from Monodelphis domestica (gray short-tailed opossum), 445 nucleotides. Ensembl annotates it as small Cajal body-specific RNA 2. Its record names the gene SCARNA2. The record is from Ensembl. NCBI's taxonomy places the organism in Eukaryota, Metazoa, Chordata, Mammalia, Didelphimorphia, Didelphidae.
GGGCAGGGGCGCGGGUUCUGCAUACCGGUUGCUUGGUGUGCGUGAGGCGGCCGAGUUACGUGCGGAAGGACGCGUGGAAGGCGAUUGAGUGUGUGUGUGAGUGCAAGGCCAGAGUGCCAGUGUGUGUGCAAGGCGAGCGCAUGUCCGUGUGCCGAGCCGGCCCUCCCUAAACCUCUCCCCCCCCUACACGCUGAUCUUAUUUGAUCGGGUCGCGCUCCUGCCCCGCCGGCCUGACCCGAGAUGAGAAGCUCCCCUCCCGCGAAGCCCCGGUCGGGGCGCUGUGCGGCGAGGCCUAUGCGAACAGGCGGCGGCGGCCGCUCCCGGGUUCCCCGGAGCCAGCCCUUCGCGGGCCUGGCCGGGCCGGGCGCUCAGAAGUGAUGAGUUGAUCAGAUAGACGAGGCGGGGCUUGUCCCUGCCCUUGAGUAUCGAGGCGAUUCUGAUCUGA